Molecule: long non-coding RNA, 537 nt
Filed under: Dasypus novemcinctus (nine-banded armadillo)
Lineage: Eukaryota; Metazoa; Chordata; Mammalia; Cingulata; Dasypodidae
Description: lncRNA (ENSDNOG00000051932.1)
Source: RNAcentral
CAGGCGCCCUCGGGACGCGCAGCUCCCUACGCCCCCGCGGGCUCGGGGAGGGGCUGGGGGGCGCGGGCACCGGCCCCCCCGGGGGGCUCUGGCUUCUGAGGAGUGGAGGGGCCGGCGGCUGUCGCAGCGUCGGAGCCACCCAGCGCCCGGGUGUCCCACGUGUGGCCCCAACCCGUCCAAUUCCCGAAGCCUUGGCGCCUGUGCGUUUGUUCUGCGGAGAAAAGCGGCACCGCCUGGUGGUUAGUGAAUGCUCGGGAGCCAUUGCGAGGAGGAAGCCGGCGUGUAGACGUCUCUGUGGCGCAAUCGGUUACACCGGGAGAAUAUGCAGGUCAGAUGACACUAAUGGAUGUUCCAGCACUUAAAGUCAUCCAACCAGACUCCCAAGAAAUCAUCAAGACUCCUUCAAGUCUGGCAGCAUCAACAAGACCUUGUCAUCUGACAGAAAAAUGUUUUCUAAUUUAUUAUGAACUAUAUAAGAUAUACAAAAAGGCAUAGGGAGCCACUGACUUGUACACUUAAAAGUGGUUAUAAUGGCAA